AGCGAACGCUGGCGGCAGGCCUAACACAUGCAAGUCGAACGAACCUUCCGGGGUCUGUGGCGGCCGGGUGUGUCACCGGUCGGAACGUGAACACAGGUUUGGCAUACCUAUGGGACACUUGUGAUAAUACCGAACGUGAGCUAAGGGGGAAAGAUUUAUCGCCUUUAGAGCGGCAGGCGUCGGAUUAGCUAGUUGGUUGAGGUAAUGGUUCACCAACGCGACGUUCAGUAGCUGGUCAGAGAGGAUGUUCCGCCACAUUGGGACCGAGACACGGCUCAAACUCCUACGGGAGGCAGCAGUGGGGAAUCUUGCACAAUGGGCGAAAUCCUGACGCAGCCAUGCCGCGAGAAUGAUGAAGGUCUUAGGAUUGUAAAAUUCUUUCACCGAGGACCGUAAUGACGGUACCCGGAGAAAAAGCCCCGGCUAACUUCGUG
RNAcentral lists this ribosomal RNA (434 nucleotides) under uncultured bacterium. RNAcentral's name for it is "partial 16S ribosomal RNA". It matches the Rfam family "Bacterial small subunit ribosomal RNA", at positions 29 to 507 of the family's 1533-position model. The record is from RNAcentral.